GGGUAUGUGGUUCAACAUGGGAGAGUAACGCAUUGGGGACAAAAGUAGACAACCAUAUCGAAAGUCCUCGGUGUAGCCUAUGGGAGUGCGGAGAUGCGGGUUCGAGUCUCGCCAUAUCCA
Molecule: transfer RNA, 120 nt
Filed under: Didymella pomorum
Lineage: Eukaryota; Fungi; Ascomycota; Dothideomycetes; Pleosporales; Didymellaceae
Description: Peyronellaea pomorum tRNA
Rfam family: tRNA
About the family: Transfer RNA (tRNA) molecules are approximately 80 nucleotides in length. Their secondary structure includes four short double-helical elements and three loops (D, anti-codon, and T loops).
Source: Rfam by way of RNAcentral